GUGAAUCAUCAAAUUUUUGAACGCAAAUUGCGCUUCCUGGCAUCCCGGGAAGUAUGCCUGCUUGAGGGUCAGUAUUAAUAAAAAAUCGGUUUAGUUACAAAUUGUGACGUUUCCGGAGUUUGGGCUAUCUUAACAUUUUUGGUUAAGAGGCUUAAAAUUGACCUUUUUUGCGCAUUUUUAAACGUACAUAAAUUUUUUUUUUUCUUUUAUCCUUAUUCCAAAAUUCUUAUAUAAGCCAAC
Molecule: unclassified non-coding RNA, 240 nt
Filed under: Glomeraceae sp.
Lineage: Eukaryota; Fungi; Glomeromycota; Glomeromycetes; Glomerales; Glomeraceae
Description: partial contains 5.8S ribosomal RNA and internal transcribed spacer 2
Rfam family: 5.8S ribosomal RNA (bases 1-71)
Source: RNAcentral